Molecule: ribosomal RNA, 253 nt
Filed under: uncultured bacterium
Lineage: Bacteria
Description: partial 16S ribosomal RNA
Rfam family: Bacterial small subunit ribosomal RNA
Source: RNAcentral
UACGGGGGGGGCAAGCGUUGUUCGGAAUUACUGGGCGUAAAGGGCUCGUAGGUGGCCAACUAAGUCGGACGUGAAAUCCCUCGGCUUAACCGGGGAACUGCGUCCGAUACUGGUUGGCUUGAGUUUGGGAGAGGGAUGCGGAAUUCCAGGUGUAGCGGUGAAAUGCGUAGAGAUGUGGAGGAACACCAGUGGCGAAGGCGACUCUUUGGCCUGUAACUGACGCUGAGGCGCGAAAGCGUGGGGAGCAAACAGG